This is a non-coding RNA of Acanthosepion pharaonis, 113 nucleotides long. The record is from the annotation of a GenBank genome assembly. NCBI's taxonomy places the organism in Eukaryota, Metazoa, Mollusca, Cephalopoda, Sepiida, Sepiidae.
UACGCCCACAUCACGUUGAAACACCAAUUCCCGCACAAUCACCGAAGUUAAGCAACGUCGAGCCUGGUCAGUACUUAGAUGGGUGACUGAUCGGAAAUAACACGUGCUGCAAG